CCUGGACAGUGGUUUUGACACUCACCUGUACCAGGCCUCAUUCCUUACACUUAGCGUACAGUCUCAGAGUGCUGGACUUGGGGUGAAACCUUCCGUGCAUAGUCAGGAGCUUCUUUGUGUUGAUGUCACUGGCUUCCAUCUCCUCCUUUGGGCAGCUUAUUAUCCCAGCAGGGUACCUGAUCACUGGCAGGGCGUAGCUGUUGAUAGCCCAGAUCUUGUUCUUACCAUUCAGCUGACUCCUUAGGACUUGCCUGACCCUCUGCAGGUACUUGGGGGUUGCAGCUUUCUUAGUGGCCUCUUCAUGGUUCCUAUUCGCCUGGGUUCAGGCCUAUGCAGAACAGCAGUGGGGAAAGCUCAUCUCCUUGGUAGAUCCUGCACUUGAUGGUGUCUUGUGCUGUAGACUUGAAGUUGGCCUCCAGUGUUGUUCGCCACAUCCCCAUCAAAUUCCUGAUGAAGGCUCUCAGGGUCCUGUUGAUCUUGUAUUGUUCUAGGCAUUCCAAGACCCAUAUGUGGUGCGUUGAGUUAUAGGCCUUCUCAGUCCAGGCAGUGAACAGGUUGGUCAGUCUGGUCUUGCAGUCUUGGGUGACUGCUCUGUCUACCAGGAACUGGUGUUUCGCUCCUCUGGUAUUCCUGCCAACUCCUUUCUGUGCCCCACUCGUGUAUUGAGCCAUGUGCCUAUUCAUCUUAGCGCUAUGAUGCCCGAUAGGGACUUCCAUGUGGUACUGAGGCAGGUUAUAGGCCGGUAGUUGGAUGGAACCAAUCCCUUCUGGGGGUUCUUGGGGAUCUUGAGCCAUGUGGAGAAAAGAAAUGAGGAUCCAAGUGCAGGCAUUCGCUGAGAUGUGAAGGUGGUUUAUUGUAAAAUAAAGCACAAGGUGAAAAAUGGCAAAACGGAACUAAAGAUAAUCUAAGAUGGGGAAAAAGGGGUGGCUGUGACUCAGGUGGUAGAGUAGAUCAGCUACUGAUUGAAAGGUCGGUGGUUCGAUCCUUGGCUUCCCCAGUCUGCAUGCCAAAUAAGACUUGGGCAAAAUACUAACCCUAAGUUGCCCUCCGUUCAUCAGAGUGUGAAUGUAGGUUAGUUUGCACUUGUGUCUAGAAGUGCUUGUAUGAAUGGGUGAAUGAGGCAUUUUGUAUACAGCUUUGAGUACUCUGGGAGAGUAGAAAAGCGUUAUAUAAGAAUCGGUCCAUUUACCAACAGCAACCACGAACAUGAAGGAGGGUGAGCAGAGGCAUACAAAGGUGGAUGGCAGGGAAAACACACGGAGAAUACAUAGUUGAUUCACAGACAGACCCGCUACUAGUACACGAGUAGACACAACUUAAAUACACACAGAAGAACACAGCUGGAAGUAAUUGACAAGACGAGACAGGGGAAGCAAAACUGAAUACAUGUCACAAAUGGUGCAGGGACUCAAGCGCAGAGCGGGUAGUCAGUUCCAACACAGAGUUUAUUUACAACACCAAGUGCAGAAUAUGUACAGUGGGGGAAAUCCAGGUAGGAGAAGGGUCCCAGGGAAGAUCCAGGGGAAAACGCUUGCGCACUCGUCCCCUCCUCUUACUCCAACUCACACACAACCACACAGCGGGGAGGUCACAGGUCCAGGGAGGAAAACUAACACACAGGGAAAAGGCAAGUUACUCCAAGUCACUAAUCUCACACAAGCUAACGUCACAAGAGCUGAGAGGGUCACUAACGUGUUACACACAAUCAUCCAGCGAUGAGAGGAUCUGUGUCCCAGCCUCAAGUAGUGCUCCUGGUGAUGACUGGUGAUUGAUGACAGGUGUGUGGGCCAAGGGCGGGAGCCCGCAGUGAGCUCCGCCCAGGCAGAGAGGGAGAGAGAGAGAGAGAGAGAGAGAGAGAGAACCAAAACAGAACAUGUAGCCUUGUGGGGCCGGCCGGGCAGGCACGGAGACCAUGACAAUACACUCACAUGAGACACAGACCUUCACAAUACAAUUUUUCUCAGUUGCUUUGGUGCAUUUCUCACAACAGAAUUGAUCUCUGCACCACUACUAAGGCU
This is a long non-coding RNA of Oreochromis aureus, 2018 nucleotides long. Lineage: Eukaryota; Metazoa; Chordata; Actinopteri; Cichliformes; Cichlidae. The record is from Ensembl.